GAGAGAGAGAGAGAGAGAGAGAGAGAGAGAGAGAGAGAGAGAGAAUUAUAGAAGCCAUGAAGAGUUUUCUGGCAAAGAUGUGGUGUGCAAGAAAUAGGGAAUUGGAAGAUUUGUAAUGGAUACUGCUUGUGUUGUUUUGUUUAUUACAGGUUGUGCCGAUACGAAGGCAUGACUCUCCAACGGGUCACCUGUGAUCUUGAUCUUGAUCUUGAUGUCACAGGUGGCUCGGGAUUUCUCCCCAGCCAGGCCUUUGUACAGCAAGAGCAAGAGCAAGACCGCCAGCCCGCCUCGGCCCCUCAGCCCGCCCCAAAGCUCCCUCCAUGGCCUCCUGCAGGGCUUGAGGUGGUCAGGCUCCCCACAGUGCUGCCCCUCGCAGUGCCAGGGCAGUGCCACACCUGUAAGCUGCGGCGCCAUGCCCGGUCUGAGAGCGCCGCUUGUCUGUGGCUCGGGAUUUCUCCCCAGCCAGGCCUUUGUACAGCAAGAGCAAGAGCAAGACCGCCAGCCCGCCUCGGCCCCUCAGCCCGCCCCAAGGCUCCCUCCAUGGCCUCCUGCAGGGCUUGAGGUGGUCAGGCUCCCCACAGUGCUGCCCCUCGCAGUGCCAGGGCAGUGCCACACCUGUAAGCUGCGGCGCCAUGCCCGGUUUGAGGGCGCCGCUGGCCUGUGGCUCGGGAUUUCUCCCCAGCCAGGCCUUUGUACAGCAAGAGCAAGAGCAAGACCGCCAGCCCGCCUCGGCCCCUCAGCCCGCCCCAAGGCUCCCUCCAUGGCCUCCUGCAGGGCUUGAGGUGGUCAGGCUCCCCACAGUGCUGCCCCUCGCAGUGCCAGGGCAGUGCCACACCUGUAAGCUGCGGCGCCAUGCCCGGUUUGAGGGCGCCGCUGGCCUGUUGUGCCGAUACGAAGGCAUGACUCUCCAACGGGUCACCUGUACAGCAAGAGCAAGAGCAAGACCGACAGCCCGCCCCAAAGCUCCCUCCAUGGCCUCCUGCAGGGCUUGAGGUGGUCAGGCUCCCCACACUGCUGCCCCACGCAGUGCCAGGGCAGUGCCACACCUGUAAUCUGCGGCGCCAUGCCCGGUCUGAGGGCGCCGCUGGACUGGAGUUGCCGGAGCCAGUGUUGACGUCGGACAUGAUGCCACACUUUGAGGACGUAGCGAUCAUUCCUAACCCCGGGGAGCGCGCCGAGGCCAUGCGCCAGCUGAUCAACCGCCUGCCAACCGCCAACCGCCUGCUGCUACAAUACAUGUUCAAGCAUAUGGGACACAUCAUUGCAAGGCAUCUUGUCAGCCGUCCCAGCCUCUCGUCACCCUAUCCCCGCUGGACUCUGGGUAAAGACGUGACCAACCCCCAGCCUCCAGCCUCUUGUCACACCUCCAAGCCUUUCCCCGCUGGACAUUGCUUCGAGACGUGAUGAACAACAACAGCCUCCAGCAUUUGCCACACCUCCGAGCCUCUCUCCUCGUCAUUUGCCCGGUGGACCCUGGA
RNA transcript from Eriocheir sinensis (Chinese mitten crab), 1478 nucleotides. RefSeq lists it as uncharacterized. The transcript is spliced from 6 exons. The record is from RefSeq and is a predicted model, not a curated record. NCBI's taxonomy places the organism in Eukaryota, Metazoa, Arthropoda, Malacostraca, Decapoda, Varunidae.